This 1488-nucleotide long non-coding RNA is filed under the name Ananas comosus (pineapple). Its description in RNAcentral is "long non-coding RNA (ACOM_LNC018517)". The record is from RNAcentral. Lineage: Eukaryota; Viridiplantae; Streptophyta; Magnoliopsida; Poales; Bromeliaceae.
AUCGACUAUCCAACGUAAUAUUAUUAUCUAACUUUUUAAUUUAAUUAACUUGAGUUAGUCAACGAUACUUUGAUUUCAAAUUCUGAAUACGUCAUUUAUCUUUAGAAAUUUAGUUUAUAUAUUUUAUGCAACUCUCGUAACUGUAAGUUUUUAAAGCAAGCGAUUAGCUUACACUUUAAAGUUAAAUAUCAUUAAUUAUCUCAAAUCAAACAAAUUAAAAGAUUAGAUAGUAAAAUCAAAAUUUUAAAAAGUCAGACAAUCGACUCAAAAUGGUCUAUAGUUUAGAUAAAUUUUAUUGUAUAUAAUUUGUACGAUUUCACUAGAAAAUGAAGAAUUAUAUCUCUGUAUGUAGCUCUAACUCUUUACAACCCAACAAAUCAGUAGGCAAAUGCUAUAUAUACAUCCCUUGAAUCCAAGGGUUUGUAAAAACCCUUAGUUGUUUAGUAUUUUUUAAGAAAUCAUGUGAUAAGUGAUAUGAUCCUAGCUUUCUAAGAAUUAAAUGUAAGAUAUACACGCAGGAAUAAGAUGUACAAAUAGCAUUACUUUAGGUAGACCCUCCUACCUUAUUUGGUUCAGGAAUAAGAAGGGGGAUAGCACCUUAUCCCCUUUAUACUCAAAUGCAAAUUUCGUAUCCGAGAAUUAGAAUAGUAGUUUUCGGGUAUCUAACAUAAGCUUGUAUAACUCUGUAUAAGCUUGAAAUUGCUGUUUCAACCUUAUCCCUGAAACAAGCGAGAACAAUAUUAAUUAAACUCUAAUUAAUUUUAAUUAUAAUAUUAAAUCAUGAAUUAGUCUAAUUAAUAUUUUUAAAUCAUUAAUUAAUCUAAUUAAUAUAUCUAAAAAUUAUUAAUUAAUCUAAUUAAUAUUAAAUUAUUAUUCCUUGAUAACCCAGGAACACCGGUUGGGAACAGUUGUUCCCACCCCUAUUUUUAUUUUUAAAAUUUAAAUUUAAAAAAAUAAAAUCUAAAUUUUAAAAUUUUAAAAAUAAAAUCUAAAUUUUAAAAUUUUAAAAUUUAUUAAUUUGUAAUUUCAAAAUUAAAUUUUAUAAUUUUAAAUUCUAAAGUUUAAAUUUUAAAUUUCAAAUUUUAAAAUUGUCAAAUUUUAAAUUUGACAUUUUAUAAUUUUCAAAUUUAAAUGUGAUAUUAAAUUUAAAGUUUAAAAUUCAAGAUUUUAAAUUUUAAAAUUUUAAUUUCAAAUUUUGAAAUUUAAUAGUUACAAUUUUAAAUUUUAAAAACAUAUAUAUAAAUUUAAAAUUAAAAUUCAAAUAUAAAGAGGGAGGGCAAUAUCAUAUUUUCUAUUUAUAACUAUCCACUAUUCUUCUUCUUCCCUCUUAUCUAUUCAAAUGUUUUUUCUUUUUUUUUCGGAAACAAUCUAAUUUUCAUCCAAACUUAAAAUUAGCCAAGUUAUUUUUCUUAUAUCUGAUUUUGUAUCUAUUUUUAAAAUAAUCACAUUUUACUUAUAUCUGAGCCAAAGAAUACCUCAUAUAUUUAU